This 1436-nucleotide ribosomal RNA is filed under the name metagenome. Its description in RNAcentral is "bacterial SSU rRNA". It matches the Rfam family "Bacterial small subunit ribosomal RNA". The record is from RNAcentral.
AGAGUUUGAUCCUGGCUCAGGAUGAACGCUGGCGGUAUGCUUAACACAUGCAAGUCGAACGGUGUCUUCGGACACAGUGGCGGACGGGUGAGUAACGCGUGAGAAUCUGCCUCUAGGUUGGGGACAACAGUUGGAAACGACUGCUAAUACCCAAUGUGCCGUAUGGUGAAAGAUUUAUUGCCUGGAGAGGAGCUCGCGUCUGAUUAGCUAGUUGGUGAGGUAAAGGCUUACCAAGGCAUCGAUCAGUAGCUGGUCUGAGAGGAUGAGCAGCCACACUGGGACUGAGACACGGCCCAGACUCCUACGGGAGGCAGCAGUGGGGAAUUUUCCGCAAUGGGCGAAAGCCUGACGGAGCAAUACCGCGUGAGGGAGGAAGGCCUUUGGGUUGUAAACCUCUUUUCUCAGGGAAGAAGAUCUGACGGUACCUGAGGAAUAAGCAUCGGCUAACUCCGUGCCAGCAGCCGCGGUAAUACGGAGGAUGCAAGCGUUAUCCGGAAUCAUUGGGCGUAAAGCGUCCGCAGGUGGUUUUUCAAGUCUGCUGUUAAAGACUGGAGCUCAACUCCGGAAAGGCAGUGGAAACUGAGAAACUAGAGUUCGGUAGGGGUAGCGGGAAUUCCCAGUGUAGCGGUGAAAUGCGUAGAUAUUGGGAAGAACAUCGGUGGCGAAGGCGCGCUACUGGACCGAAACUGACACUCAGGGACGAAAGCUAGGGUAGCGAAAGGGAUUAGAUACCCCUGUAGUCCUAGCUGUAAACGAUGGAAACUAGGUGUGGCUUGUAUCGACCCGAGCCGUGCCGUAGCUAACGCGUUAAGUUUCCCGCCUGGGGAGUACGCACGCAAGUGUGAAACUCAAAGGAAUUGACGGGGGCCCGCACAAGCGGUGGAGUAUGUGGUUUAAUUCGAUGCAACGCGAAGAACCUUACCAGGGCUUGACAUGUCGCAAAUCUUGGUGAAAGCUGAGAGUGCCUUCGGGAGCGCGAACACAGGUGGUGCAUGGCUGCCGUCAGCUCGUGUCGUGAGAUGUUGGGUUAAGUCCCGCAACGAGCGCAACCCUCGUCUUUAGUUGCCAGCAUUAAGUUGGGCACUUUAGAGAGACUGCCGGUGACAAACCGGAGGAAGGUGGGGAUGACGUCAAGUCAGCAUGCCCCUUACGCCCUGGGCUACACACGUACUACAAUGGUUGGGACAAAGGGCAGCAAACCCGCGAGGGUAAGCGAAUCUCAUCAAACCCAGCCUCAGUUCAGAUUGCAGGCUGCAACUCGCCUGCAUGAAGGAGGAAUCGCUAGUAAUCGCAGGUCAGCAUACUGCGGUGAAUUCGUUCCCGGGCCUUGUACACACCGCCCGUCACACCAUGGAAGCUGGUCACGCCCGAAGUAGUUACCCUAACCUUUCGGGGGGGGGGACUCCUAAGGCAGGGCUAGUGACUGGGGUGAAGUU